UACCAGCACCCCGAGUGGUCGGGACGUUUAUUGGGCCUAAAGCAUCCGUAGCCGGUUCUACAAGUCUUCCGUUAAAUCCAACUGCUUAACAGGUGGGCUGCGGAAGAUACUAUGGAGCUAGGAGGCGGGAGAGGCAAGCGGUACUCGAUGGGUAGGGGUAAAAUCCGUUGAUCCAUUGAAGACCACCAGUGGCGAAGGCGGCUUGCCAGAACGCGCUCGACGGUGAGGGAUGAAAGCUGGGGGAGCAAACAGG
This 253-nucleotide ribosomal RNA is filed under the name uncultured bacterium. RNAcentral's name for it is "partial 16S ribosomal RNA". It matches the Rfam family "Archaeal small subunit ribosomal RNA", at positions 474 to 727 of the family's 1478-position model. The record is from RNAcentral.